This 654-nucleotide ribosomal RNA is filed under the name Myoictis melas (three-striped marsupial mouse). RNAcentral's name for it is "partial 16S ribosomal RNA". The stretch from base 1 to 536 matches the Rfam family "Bacterial large subunit ribosomal RNA", at positions 1952 to 2925 of the family's 2925-position model. The record is from RNAcentral. Lineage: Eukaryota; Metazoa; Chordata; Mammalia; Dasyuromorphia; Dasyuridae.
AAAGGUAGCAUAAUCACUUGUCUCUUAAUUGGGGACUAGUAUGAAUGGCAUAACGAGGGCUCAACUGUCUCUUAUUCCCAAUCAGUGAAAUUGACCUUCCCGUGCAGAGGCGGGAAUCAUGAUACAAGACGAGAAGACCCUGUGGAGCUUAAGUCAAAUAACUCAAGACAUACUAAUAUACAACCCACCGGAACAGCCCGUAUAACCCCCUGAGUUAUAGUCUUUGGUUGGGGUGACCUCGGAGCAUAAAACAACCUCCGAAUGAAAUAACCCAGAUUAACUAAUCUAAGUGUAACAAUACCAGUAAUUGACCCAUCUUUUGAUCAACGGAACAAGUUACCCCAGGGAUAACAGCGCAAUCCUAUUUGAGAGCCCAUAUCGAAAAUUAGGGUUUACGACCUCGAUGUUGGAUCAGGACACCCAAAUGGUGCAACCGCUAUUAAAGGUUCGUUUGUUCAACGAUUAAAGUCCUACGUGAUCUGAGUUCAGACCGGAGAAAUCCAGGUCGGUUUCUAUCUGUAAAUUCAUUUCUCCCAGUACGAAAGGACAAGAGAAAUAGGGCCAACGUACCAAAUAAGCCCUAGAGCCCACAUAUGAACAAAUCUAAAUAUACUAAAUCAAUUUAUACCCCCCCCAGAAAAAGGGUUAUUAAAA